This 1259-nucleotide long non-coding RNA is filed under the name Homo sapiens (human). RNAcentral's name for it is "HSALNT0358899". Lineage: Eukaryota; Metazoa; Chordata; Mammalia; Primates; Hominidae. The record is from RNAcentral.
ACAGAAGUUCUGUGGCUUUCAAAUACACAAGCAACAACCACUACACAAAAACCUAUGGCGCUUCUUGGGUUGGGAUUUUGAGAUUGAACCCUAAGCAAAGCGAACAGAAGACAACUUCCUCUCAACAAUCAUUUCCCUUUGUCAUCCUUUUCCUGGCUUCUGUUAAGGAAGGGGAAAUUGAAGUCAUCCAGCUGACAAUCACAGUUCCACAGAUACCUCAAUGGGCUGCUGCCUCUACCUGCAUAGUCUUCUUCUGGUACUGGAACCACUCUAUAUAAAUUGUUGAUGAAUAAGUAUCCUGCUUGUAGAAACUCAGGCACCAACUGGAAGACCCAGAGGCUGUGGGUCAACCCACCUGCAUCUGUGACAUCACAGCUCUAUAAACAAUGUUUGUAUGUUUUUAUUCAGAAAACAAAGAUAUUUCUAAUUUAAAAAAAUUUAAAAAAACUUAAAGAAUGCUGUCUUUUAAAAAAUAUUUAUUUAUUGGCAUGAGUUAAGAAUCACCCAAAUUUCUUUUACAUGCCUAUAAAAAUGAUAUAAUUUGUUUUCUUUAAGUUACUGAUUUACUGUGUAAUAUUUAUGAAUUGUUAAAUAUUGCAUUGGGGUUGGAUUCCCAAUUUGAUUUAUUACUUUCCUAUUAUAUUGCUUAAUUUAGAGUAGUUUAUUUAGAUUGUCAUAUCUACAGCUAACUACAAUCAAUUCACUUCUAAUUUUGUAAAAACUUCAGCAGCUCUAAGGAUUGAGUUAGCCAUUGCCUUGUAAUUAUAACGGGUAACUAUCUUUUUGAUCCUUGACUUGGAAUGAAUAGUUGACACUGAAAUUGCUAAAGAAUAAUGUGGAAAAUCCCUCUCACACUGUUCACCUUCAUUGCUGUGGAUAAUCUUUAACAACUUUAUUUUCUCAGUUGCUCUGUUCAGGUUUUUUACCUCUUACUAUGUUAAUUUUGAUGUUAGUUUUGCUGUUAUUCUAGUACUUGUUGGUCUGUUUUACAGAAUAUGAUCCCUUUCAUUGCUAUUUCUAAAUUUAUCACAAAACUGUGAGAGAAAUCCAUUAUAAUUUAAUCAUUUUAUCCAUUACGAUGUAUGAUAUACCCUUUGUAAUGGUGAUGUCUUAUUUUGAUUAAACUUAAUUAUAUAUUUUUUUAUUUUGACUUCAUAAAAACCAUAUUUUGGAUUAUUCAUUACUUUUACUAAUUUUUAGCCCUGUAUUUUUUUCUGAAUUUUGAAAUUUAUUUUGAAAUAAAUAAUUUCCUUUUCUCA